GCAUAUCAAUAAGCGGAGGAAAAGAAACUAACAAGGAUUCCCUUAGUAACGGCGAGUGAACCGGGAAGAGCUCAAAUUUGAAAUCUGGCUGUCUUCGAUAGUCCGAGUUGUAAUCUAUAGAAGCGUUUUCCGUGCUGAACUGUGUAUAAGUCCCUUGGAACAGGGUAUCAAAGAGGGUGACAAUCCCGUACUUUACACAAUCAUCAGUGCUCUGUGAUACGUUCUCUACGAGUCGAGUUGUUUGGGAAUGCAGCUCAAAAUGGGUGGUAAAUUCCAUCUAAAGCUAAAUAUUGGCGAGAGACCGAUAGCGAACAAGUACCGUGAGGGAAAGAUGAAAAGCACUUUGGAAAGAGAGUUAAACAGAACGUGAAAUUGUUAAAAGGGAAACGAUUGAAGUCAGUCGUGUUUAUUGGAUUCAGCCGGUCUUCGGUGUACUUCCUUUAAACGGGUCAACAUCAGUUUUGUCCGGUGGAUAAAGGCAGUAGGAAUGUGGCUCCCUCGGGAGUGUUAUAGCCUAUUGUCACAUACACUGGAGGAGACUGAGGACUGCAGCUCGCCUUUUGGCCGGGGUUCGCCCACGUUCGAGCUUAGGAUGUUGACAUAAUGGCUUUAAACGACCCGUCUUGAAACACGGACC
RNAcentral lists this ribosomal RNA (637 nucleotides) under Apiotrichum laibachii. RNAcentral's name for it is "eukaryotic LSU rRNA". It matches the Rfam family "Eukaryotic large subunit ribosomal RNA", at positions 38 to 667 of the family's 3401-position model. The record is from RNAcentral. Lineage: Eukaryota; Fungi; Basidiomycota; Tremellomycetes; Trichosporonales; Trichosporonaceae.